Molecule: long non-coding RNA, 367 nt
Organism: Felis catus (domestic cat)
Lineage: Eukaryota; Metazoa; Chordata; Mammalia; Carnivora; Felidae
Exons: 2
Source: RefSeq, a predicted model, not a curated record
CUCCAACCCACGGACCACGACCUGAGCUGAAGUCAGACACUUAACUUACUGAGCCACCCAGCAUAGUUUAAAGAAGUCUGAUAAAUGGUAUGAGAAAGGAGUCCAGUGUUAGAGACCAAAGGGAUGCGUCCAGAAGAAAAACAAAUGUGGGCUCAGAGCAUCAACUAUGUAACUCAGUCACAGCACCGGAUAAUUCAUUGAUGACUGCACCUCUCUGGGGGAAAGUAUUUUCAGUGAUAUCCCUUGAAAGAGACAAGAAAUCCUUACAGAACGAUGACAAACCUGGAUUGAAAUUCCAACUUUGUUAUUUGCUACAAAUGUACUGUGAUUCUCAAUUUCUUUAUAAUAAAAUGAUGAGUGUAUCAAC